Long non-coding RNA from Nematostella vectensis (starlet sea anemone), 2060 nucleotides. RefSeq lists it as uncharacterized. The transcript is spliced from 4 exons. NCBI's taxonomy places the organism in Eukaryota, Metazoa, Cnidaria, Anthozoa, Actiniaria, Edwardsiidae. The record is from RefSeq and is a predicted model, not a curated record.
GCCAUGCUUUUGCAUAUUUUAAUUACUCCCAGCAUAGUAUACAAUUUCUUGAGCCCAUAACUAGGAGCGUACAUGUGAUAUAGGUAUUAUGAGUGAGCCCAUAACUAGGAGCGUACAACUACAAUAAAUCUAGUGGACUCGGUUUUUGUGGAGGGAAACAAUUGUUUACCGUCCGAUCACAAAUGCAUCUAUUUUGAUUUUCGCCGUUCCGCCAAGAUAAUAAAUUCACCAUCCAGAUCUGUUUAUGAUUUUAAGAACGCUGACUUUGCGUCCCUUAGGGGCCAUCUACAAACAAACUGUUCUGCUAUAGAAUGGGACUCUCAUAAAGCAAACCACGAGUGAUCCAAUCACUUUGCUUUGGACCGCUGUUCGAAGUAGCGAUAUGGCACUCGUCGUGUGAGAAGACGGCACAGGUAGUCCAGUUACAUGGCGGUGUGUGUCGAAGCGACACGCUUAUACGAACUCACCUUGAAGUCAUCCGAGGCAGACGCAAACCACAUGCCAUCAUCAGAGUACUGUAACAACGACAGUAGACUGUAUUGGGGGCGGUACAGGUACCAGGCUUUACUUCGCUGUUACAAUUUGAAGGUUUACAAGAUCUGACUGCGGCUUCUACCGCACCCCUUUUUAUAUGGUCCUACGACGGCGUCCCUGUCAAGUCCGGAAGACACAAUUAUGAGCGCUACUCUGAACACAACACAAGCUUUUACUUUCAACAACCGAGCUCUACAAAUUCGGCGCGCUCUCUCCGGGCAAGCACGCUAUCUCCAUGGUAACAUCAAUCAAUAACAUACAUAACAGUCCCUCUGGUAAUCCGACACUGACAGCCAUGGAAAGCUUUUAGCUCUGUUUAGACAAAGCGUCCCAGGAACGAACUACCCCCCACCCAUGGGUGUGUCGGUUUGUUACCCUUGGGCUACCGUGACUUACGCAAUGUUUACAUGUUGCUACUGACUACGGUUGUCACACACUAACUGCUAGCUGUGCCAGUGCGCAUGGCAAGAUAUACACAUGAAUAUAAUGAUAAACAAUAUUCAAAUCAUUUUUGCUCUCAAAAUCUUAAACCGUACUAAAUCUUAAUUCCGCCGACGGCCAGGUCUGAAUCCUACUCAAGGUAAGCCCUGUGUGAACUCAUACCCAACUUUUCUUCCUUCGUUAAAAAGCACGAACCGAGAAUUGGCGGCCAAAUCCCGAUUGUCAAACACCCCUGGAAAAAGGACGGGCCACGCCUACUUUUCCACUGGGUAAAGGGUCAACUUCUUAUUUUUCCCUAUCUUAUUUCAUAGGAACAGCUAAAGUUUUUGUUGAUAUAACUUGCUCAAACAAACAGACGCCUUUUAGUUGAAUAAACAAAACAUACUUUUAACGGUCUCUUAACUUCAGGAAGGUCGUUGUUUAAUAAAGUAAUAUAAUAUUUAGUUGUCAAAGAUGACGUUAAUCUCUGUUUCGUAAUUUUCCUCCGUGACAGUACGUCACACUACAGCACUCCAGAAUGGAACCGAGCCUUUUUGAGUGUCGCGCAGCUCAAUAGCCGGACUGUUUGGUCACAUGAUCCUGAUGUCAGCAUCGCCAAAUCCGAGCUACAUGUCACAUCCAUUACCCAAUCAUAUUGGCCUCCGAGAAGAGCGAUAAUCUGUGGGUCCUCCUCCACGUCAAUAAGAGUGAUUGUCAUGUGUGGACCAGGCGCUGCCGCUAGAUGGGUUCCUUGUGGUGUGCUUUUGAAUGGAACAGAUGAAACGUCGUUGGGGAUGUUGAAGAUAAUCAGCUGUUGGGAUAUCCCAUAUGAUGACGUAUGAUGACCAUAUGAUGAAUCUGCCCCAGUGCUGGCGAGGAGCGGGCCAUCCGGGGAGAAGUCCACUGACGAAACCAGUGAAAUAUACCGCAGGCGUUCGUGCCCACUCAAAUUUUUCUUAUCCGGCCUCAUCAAUGCCAUGACCUUUUAGUGAUAAUAAAACAAAAAAUUAUGUUAUUGAAAGGUUAGAGGUGGUGGAAGCUGCUAUGUUAAGAUGUUGUUGUAAAAAAUUUAAGACACCUGGAAAAAACAUUGUUGAGGACAAAAA